GGGGAUAUAGUAUAAUGGUAGUACGCCAAUUUUGCAAGUUGAUAGUUUAGGUUCAAUCCCUAAUUUCUCCA
RNAcentral lists this transfer RNA (71 nucleotides) under Ophiostoma piliferum. Its description in RNAcentral is "tRNA-Ala". It matches the Rfam family "tRNA". From Rfam's summary of the family: Transfer RNA (tRNA) molecules are approximately 80 nucleotides in length. The record is from RNAcentral. Lineage: Eukaryota; Fungi; Ascomycota; Sordariomycetes; Ophiostomatales; Ophiostomataceae.